This 370-nucleotide long non-coding RNA is filed under the name Vulpes vulpes (red fox). RNAcentral's name for it is "lncRNA (ENSVVUG00000014053.1)". The record is from RNAcentral. Lineage: Eukaryota; Metazoa; Chordata; Mammalia; Carnivora; Canidae.
CUGUGCUCCAACUAUUGGCAAGAACAAUGUUUGGGGCCUUGGCGGAACUGGGCCAUAUGAACUCACAUCCAUACACCACUGGGCUAAAGUUCUUCAUAAGAGGAAUGGAUGAGAAGGAGACUUGAAAUGGAAAUUAUUUAGAUUCCACACUUCAAGGUCUCUGCAACCAGUGCAGCCUUUCAGAGUGUAGGGGACACCAACUGCAUAAAGAAACCUUGGAUCACACUUGCCCAUACUAAAAAAGCACCUUGAUAUUUGGGUCAAAGAGCACAGCUGUGAAUUGACACACUGGUUGGGUGUCAGUACAGAAAACUCUUCCCAGAGGAUCAUGGAGGGAAAGGGGAGUUUAUCGUGGAACAUUGGCAAAUUU